Molecule: microRNA precursor, 54 nt
Filed under: Oreochromis niloticus (Nile tilapia)
Lineage: Eukaryota; Metazoa; Chordata; Actinopteri; Cichliformes; Cichlidae
Description: microRNA oni-mir-10671 precursor
Source: miRBase by way of RNAcentral
UCCCUGACACACAGCUCUGCAGUCUCACAAACUGCAGUCUGCCUGUCAGGUAGU